Molecule: long non-coding RNA, 1184 nt
Organism: Rhopalosiphum padi (bird cherry-oat aphid)
Lineage: Eukaryota; Metazoa; Arthropoda; Insecta; Hemiptera; Aphididae
Exons: 4
Source: RefSeq, a predicted model, not a curated record
UUUGCCGUAGUGUCGUGCACCUAACCUCGUCCUCGUGUAUGAAAUAAUUUGUUUGCUUACUGUAGAAUUAAAUACAGCUAUGAUUUAAUACUUAAUAUUGCAUAAUACAAUAAUACAUUAUGGAAAGGAAACCAAAGGGCUGAGCUGAAAAACUUCGUUUAAAAAAACUGGUAAAUUUGCAGGCUAUUGCCAAUGAGUCAAAACAAAAUUUAUUUUGAACUUAUUCGUUGAUGAUUGUGUAACGCAACCAAAAUACUAAAGUUGCUUAACUGUAGCUGUAAGAGAAAAUUCUUUGCUUGCCGAGACGGCAUCGAGUUUCACUUUCGUUGAGUCAGUUUGAUCAUCGUCCAAUUCGUGUGUUGUAACAACCAGGGUUCCUUGCAGACGAGCGCGCGUUAAUCGUUCGAAGACGCACUAUCGUUCGCCACCGUUUCGUGCGCGGAAUAACACGGCUACCUGGUCUUUUCGAUCGGUAUGUUGUCGCGGUAACAUCUGUGAAUACAAUAAUAUAAUGUGAUUUCAAAUUUUUUUUGGUAUUUACUCUAAUAGAAAAUUUAUUAUUUUUCCUUAUUAUUGUGAGUUGAGAGCCCUAAGGGUUAAUUUUUAUCAUAUACAUAGGUACAAAUCGGCAUUAUUUUAUUAUUUUUAUUAUAUAUUUUUGUAUUGGAGUGAAAAUGAAUCGCCAAUACUCAUUAAAUUAUAUAGGCGAUAUUCGCCACUAUUUUGUGUUCGCUCGAAUCAUCACAUUAAUUUGUUUUACUUAUUAUAUUGUGUACGCGAAUCGCCACAAAAACUGUAUAAUUUUGUAUGGGCGCUAAUGGCCCUAUUUUUUUUAUAUAUAUUAUCGAUAAUUAUUUGUGUAUUGUGUGUAUCAAUUUGUAUUAUAAGUAUUAUUAUUGCUAGGUAGCAGCUAUAAUGUGCACCGACAAUCUGUGCCGUUUUUAUAUAAUUAUAUAAUUAUACCUUAUUACACACAUAUUUUAUUCUGUUAGGUCAUAAGAGCCGUGUAUUUAUUAUAUUUACUAUUUAUACUUUUCUGAAUGUAAUUUCUUUAUAUACUUGCACUUGUUAAUUAUUACGUAUUAUUAUUAUUAUUACUAUACUGGUUGUGCCAAACCGGCAUUUUAGUCGGACUAUUUAUUUUACAUAAUAUAUUUUACUUGUUAGGCCAAAAGGGCCGUAAC